UUCACGAACUUUCGGUAACUGCAGGGUGCCUUCUAUCUGUUUGUGGAUUUUAGCUCCUACUACGGGUCGGAAGUCGAAGGCUUCGGCAUCGUAAAAGACUCCGAAUCCCUUUGCCGGUUCCUUCUAGACAAGGCCCAGGUCGCGCUCGUUCCGGGAGAUGCAUUCGGGGACGACAAGUGCGUAAGGAUCUCCUAUGCUGCUUCUCUCUCUACACUACAAGCUGCAGUGGAGAAGAUCAAAGAAGCCAUGGUUUUGCUCGAAUCCCCUGUUUCUGUUUAAAUCAUUCAUAAAUUUGGCUUUGCGGAUGUCGUAAUUUGAUCAUUUGUCUCUAAAUUUUAACAUUUAGAUUGGGGGAUCUUCGCAUUGAUCUCUUUUGCUCUCGGAACUUCUUGUUGUGGCGUGAAGUUGUAUUUAAAACAGAGCAUGAUUUGUGCCUUUGGGUGAAAGUAACUUUGUUAUCAUCAAUAAAUAAUAUAUUGCGCUGUUCAGAGUUAAAA
Molecule: long non-coding RNA, 497 nt
Organism: Ananas comosus (pineapple)
Lineage: Eukaryota; Viridiplantae; Streptophyta; Magnoliopsida; Poales; Bromeliaceae
Exons: 2
Source: RefSeq, a predicted model, not a curated record